Molecule: non-coding RNA, 27 nt
Filed under: Mus musculus (house mouse)
Lineage: Eukaryota; Metazoa; Chordata; Mammalia; Rodentia; Muridae
Source: RNAcentral
UGAGGACUGGUUGCAAAAUGCACGUGU